Molecule: ribosomal RNA, 465 nt
Filed under: uncultured bacterium
Lineage: Bacteria
Description: partial 16S ribosomal RNA
Rfam family: Bacterial small subunit ribosomal RNA
Source: RNAcentral
GACGAACGCUGGCGGCGUGCUUAACACAUGCAAGUCGAACGGAAAGGCCCCUUUGGGGGUACUCGAGUGGCGGACGGGGGCGUAACACGGGAGUAACCUUCCCUUUACUUCUGGAUAACUUUAGGAAACUGGGGCUAAUACCGGUUAGGAAUCCUUUCUGCAUGGGGGGGGUUGGAAAGCUUUGGGGGUUUUGGGUUGGCUCGCGGCUUAUCAGCUUGUUGGGGGGGUGGUGGCUUACCAAGGCGUUGACGGGUAGCCGGCCCGUGGGGGCGACCGGCCACCCAGGGGCUGAGGUGCGGCCCCAGCUCCUACGGGGGGGCACGGGGGGGAAUCUUGACCAAUGGGCGGGGAGCUGGUGCAGAAACCCCGCGUGUGGGAUAACAGCCUUCUGGUUGUAAAACGGUUUUAGCAGGGGAGAAGCUUGUGGUGACGGUACCUGCAGAAGAAGCACCGGCUAACUACGUG